UAGGCCUUAGCUUAAAGGAAAGCGGGUAGCUGUUGACUAUUUGAUGUAAAUAUUACAGGCCU
Molecule: transfer RNA, 62 nt
Filed under: Hippopus hippopus
Lineage: Eukaryota; Metazoa; Mollusca; Bivalvia; Cardiida; Cardiidae
Description: tRNA-Asn
Source: RNAcentral